AAAAAGUUAGUUUAAAUCCAAAACUGUAUCUUGUCAAGAUAUAAAUAUGUAAUUCAUACUUUUUU
This 65-nucleotide transfer RNA is filed under the name Haedus sp. Its description in RNAcentral is "tRNA-Asp". Lineage: Eukaryota; Metazoa; Arthropoda; Insecta; Hemiptera; Tingidae. The record is from RNAcentral.